GAUGAACGCUGGCGGCGUGCUUAACACAUGCAAGUCGAACGAUGAAGCCCAGCUUGCUGGGUGGUUUAGUGGCGAACGGGUGAGUAACACGUGAGUAACCUGCUCUUAACUCUGGGAUACGCCUGGAAAACUGGGCCUAAUACCGGUAAGUAGCGUGCACCGCAUGGUGGGUGUUUGAGAGAUUUCUCGGUUUUGGAUGGCCUCGCGGCCUAUCAGCUUGUUGGUGAGGUAGUGGCUCACCAAGGCGACGACGGGUAGCCGGCAUGAGAGGGUGACCGGCGACACUGGGACUGAGACACGGCCCAGACUCCAACGGGAGGCAGCAGUGGAGAAUAUUGCACAAUGGGCGCAAGCCUGAUGCAGCGACGCCGCGUGAGGGAUGACGGCCUUCGGGUUGUAAACCGCUUUCAGUAGGGAAGAAGCGAAAGUGACGGUACCUGCAGAAGAAGCACCGGCUAACUACGUG
RNAcentral lists this ribosomal RNA (466 nucleotides) under uncultured bacterium. RNAcentral describes it as "partial 16S ribosomal RNA". It matches the Rfam family "Bacterial small subunit ribosomal RNA", at positions 28 to 507 of the family's 1533-position model. The record is from RNAcentral.